CCCCAGCUCUCACCUCCCACU
This 21-nucleotide microRNA is filed under the name Sarcophilus harrisii (Tasmanian devil). Its description in RNAcentral is "Sha-Mir-12470_3p* (star (passenger))". The record is from RNAcentral. Lineage: Eukaryota; Metazoa; Chordata; Mammalia; Dasyuromorphia; Dasyuridae. RNAcentral also lists the same sequence under 1 other name.